CCUACGGGAGGCAGCAGUGGGGAAUUUUGGACAAUGGGGGCAACCCUGAUCCAGCAAUGCCGCGUGAGUGAAGAAGGCCUUCGGGUUGUAAAGCUCUUUUGUCAGGGAAGAAACAGCAGCUCUAACACAGCUGUGAAUGACGGUACCUGAAGAAUAAGCACCGGCUAACUACGUGCCAGCAGCCGCGGUAAUACGUAGGGUGCAAGCGUUAAUCGGAAUUACUGGGCGUAAAGCGUGCGCAGGCGGUUAUAUAAGACAGGUGUGAAAUCCCCGGGCUUAACCUGGGAAUUGCAUCUGUGACUGUAUAGCUAGAGUGUGUCAGAGGGGGGUAGAAUUCCACGUGUAGCAGUGAAAUGCGUAGAUAUGUGGAGGAAUACCAAUGGCGAAGGCAGCCCCCUGGGAUAACACUGACGCUCAUGCACGAAAGCGUGGGGAGCAAACAGGAUUAGAUACCCUGGUAGUCCACGCCCUAAACGAUGCUGACUAGUUGUUCGGGAUUUUAUCCUGAGUAACGUAGCUAACGCGUGAAGUCAGCCGCCUGGGGGNGGACGGUCGCGAGAGUAAACGUACGAAGAAGUAGAGCGNGAGAGNGCGAGGACGACGACGAGGGAGGAGG
RNAcentral lists this ribosomal RNA (616 nucleotides) under uncultured bacterium. Its description in RNAcentral is "bacterial SSU rRNA". The stretch from base 1 to 539 matches the Rfam family "Bacterial small subunit ribosomal RNA", at positions 338 to 873 of the family's 1533-position model. The record is from RNAcentral.